Molecule: ribosomal RNA, 254 nt
Filed under: uncultured bacterium
Lineage: Bacteria
Description: partial 16S ribosomal RNA
Rfam family: Bacterial small subunit ribosomal RNA
Source: RNAcentral
UACAGAGGUCUCAAGCGUUGUUCGGAAUUACUGGGCGUAAAGCGUGCGCAGGCGGUUUUUGUAAGCCAGAUGUGAAAUCCCCGGGCUUAACCUGGGAAUGGCAUUUGGGACUGCAAGGCUUGAGUGCGGCAGAGGAGACUGGAAUUCCUGGUGUAGCAGUGAAAUGCGCAGAUAUCGGGAGGAACACCAGUGGCGAAGGCGACUUCCUGGCCUGUUCUUGACGCUGAGGCGCGAAAGCUAGGGGAGCAAACGGG